CUGAUCUCACUUUCUGUGGAAGAUUUCAAACACUGGUCUCCAUUAAAUAUCAUUUUUAUUUUCUUUAGCUUUAGUGUCUUCUCACAGAUGCUAGGCUUCCAACUUCUCAGUUGCUAAUAAUACUAGAGUUAUCUAUAUAUUUUGCCCCUCUGUAUUUUUAUACAGAUCUCUUGAGAAGAAACUAAGAAAAAUGCCAUCUCUAAAGAAUUUUCUUCUCACUAUAGCUUUUUUCUGUUUUCAGGCAGCAAAAACACAUUACAAUGAUGAGACUUCUGUAAAAGAACAUGUUUUCCCCCUUGACAGAGCAAAUGAAGGGUUAACUUCAAGGAGGAACUGGCUGUUUUUCUUGACCAGAGAUGUGGAAUGCAUGCAGUCAUCAUGUAUGCUGUUCUCUGCAUCACUUUUACAAGCAUAAUGGGAGUUUGAUGUAUGUCUGGACCACCUAAAAUGGUGUCUCUCCUGUGGAAGAGGCUGGAAUAACCUGCUUCUAGGGGAUGGAAGAACCAGUGCAUUCAUGGAUAUUCGGCUCAAAACGUGAUUGGCAACAGCAAUUUUUUCACUAGGUACAUAGCCCACCCUAUCUGUAUCUUUAAAACUACCUGACACUGUAUCAGAGCUUUUUCUGGCUUUUGUAGCUGAGGGUGAAAGAUUCUUUCAUUCAAGCAGGUAACAACAGGUGAUAAAGGGAGAAGGAGCCCAGCUCUGACUUUGAAGAUGUGAGGAUUUAGAACCUGGUAGGACUAUUGCUAUGUAGGAACUGAAAUAAGCUCUGAAUCCAAUUCCCUUCCCUUUCCCAGUCACUGAGAAGAUGCCAGGGGAAUUAUGCCUCCAAGUUAUUAGGGAGAAAUGUUUUUAUGUUUGUUCUUGCUAUGUUUCUGAAGUAAAUAUCCCUUUGGAAAAGCUCAUCUGAUAUUAGGUGGUUAACUGAAAUUGGAGUACAAAUACUGGGCCCCCUAAAAAGGGAGAGAACAUCACUGAUGGUGGUUUGAGUCAGUGGUAGAGAAGAGAGACUUUACAACUCCUUCAGGAUACUGGAGAACCCUGGGGAUGGAG
Molecule: long non-coding RNA, 1053 nt
Filed under: Monodelphis domestica (gray short-tailed opossum)
Lineage: Eukaryota; Metazoa; Chordata; Mammalia; Didelphimorphia; Didelphidae
Description: lncRNA (ENSMODG00000039225.1)
Source: RNAcentral